AAUAUUGGACAAUGGGGGCAACCCUGAUCCGGCCAUGCCGCGUGUGUGAAGAAGGUCUUCGGAUUGUAAAGCACUUUACGUUGGGAGGAAGGUCUCUAGGUUAAUCACCUGACGUUUUGACGUUACCAACAGAAUAAGCAUCGGCUAACUCUGUGCCAUCAACCGCGGUAAUCAAGAGUGUGCAAGCGUUAAUCGGAAUUACUGGGCGUAAAGCGCGCGUAGGUGGUUCAGUAAGAUGGGUGUGAAAUCCCCGGGCUUAACCUGGGAACUGCUUUCAUAACUGCUGAGCUAGAGUACGGUAGAGGGUAGUGGAAUUUCCUGUGUAGCGGUGAAAUGCGUAGAUAUAGGAAGGAACACCAGUGGCGAAGGCGACUACCUGGACUGAUACUGACACUGAGGUGCGAAAGCGUGGGGAGAGAACA
This 422-nucleotide ribosomal RNA is filed under the name uncultured bacterium. RNAcentral describes it as "partial 16S ribosomal RNA". It matches the Rfam family "Bacterial small subunit ribosomal RNA", at positions 360 to 774 of the family's 1533-position model. The record is from RNAcentral.